Molecule: long non-coding RNA, 558 nt
Filed under: Olea europaea subsp. europaea
Lineage: Eukaryota; Viridiplantae; Streptophyta; Magnoliopsida; Lamiales; Oleaceae
Source: RNAcentral
AGAGAUCGUUGCUGCAAUUUUCCUUUAAUUUUUUUUCAAGAACAGAGCCCUUCGUAUUAUUCCAUAGUCAUUUCUAUCCGAAUGAAGUUGGCUCAAGAAAAUUUCCAAUUAUGGACGUGACAGAGAAAUUAAAGCUACUCACCGGGUUUUGCUGAAUUCUUCAAGCCCUGUUGCUUUUCGUCUUCCGUAGCACAUUUAAUUUUAUUCUGUCGAGGUAGACUGGGAAAAGCAGCUCACCGUCUUUGAUUGGUGGUGUAAGUAAAUCUGGAAGGCCACUUUAAUUGCUUUUAUACAUUGUGUCUAAAUGGGAUGAUGAAAAUUAAGAGGGAGUGCAAGGUAACUCAUGGUCUGUGUGUAAAUAUAGGUCUUUCUACUAUGGAUUCUUGUUAAAUUGUAUAAUUUUUGUUGUCUUUCUUCCCCUUCUUCUUGGUUUUACUCAACAAAUCGAAAUGGAUAAUGUAUGUGAUUUUAAAUUUUGUGAGAUUUAAAGUUGUCUAUUAUUAACUAUUUUUUUCUAGGGUGUAUGGAUGAUACUUGAAGCUACUAGUUUAUUCGCGG